UUCCGGAAGAAGAUGUUGGGUGCGUCGCCUUUUGGGGGGACGAGAAUUGGGAAGCCGGUGCAAGACCGGCGCUGCCCCCGCAACGGUCAGAUCCGCAAGGCCUUUCGCCAGCGGCCACCGGACAGGACGGGUCCGGGAAGGCGGCGGAAGGUCGGGGCCAUUUGCCCCGGGCGGAUCGAGCCCGGAAACCAGCCCGACAUUGCGCCGAACC
This 211-nucleotide non-coding RNA is filed under the name Pseudooceanicola marinus. The record is from RNAcentral. Lineage: Bacteria; Pseudomonadati; Pseudomonadota; Alphaproteobacteria; Rhodobacterales; Paracoccaceae.